CUCAUCCUUUCCCAGUUCUCCAAAAAAAAUUCUCCUUCUUUCCCAAACCAAACCUUAUCUGUUCUCCUCCAUUCCCCCAAAUUGACCAGACCACCAGUCUGUCACUCGCUUCUCACUGCUGCCAACCGCUGGUCGCCGGUCUUGCCAACUCUCGCCGCCCUCUGCAGUGAGGGCCCUCCAGGCCUCCACGCCAGGUGCCGGGUGUUGGCUGCUGGUGCUUCUCCUUCUCUCACUGCUUCUCCGCUCACGCUGCAUGCUGCCGUGCAGUGGACCGCUGAUGCUGCCGCCGGCUAGUAAACUAAACAGUGAACUGUUGUUGAAGCGUCGAAGGAGCAAGACUGCUGCAAGAGCAAAGGUAUUUUUUCAAAUUAAUUAAAGGAAAAGGAUUCAAUGAUGUUCUUCAUAGACUUGCGUAAUGUUUUGAUUGCCAUGUAAUUUUUUAAGUUAUGUAUUGUGUGCCAAAUCUCGAUAGCCUAACCAUCUAUGAUUUUUGUGCUAUGUACAUCAGUAAUGAAGUACAAUUUCAGAUCCAUCAUUCAUUCAUGCUUUUCGGGCUAUGCUUUUUUAGUAGUAUCGGACAGUCAGCCGUCUUCUGAUUCAGAAAAGAGGUGACAGUGAUUUUGAAUUUUUGGCUCAGGUAACAACCAUGGUCUAGGAGAGCAUAUCUGUAGUUAUUGGUUGUAGGCAUCUUUUGGUCAGUCCGGUGUGUUCUACAGUUGUGGCUAUGGAGCACUUUUGGCCAGUUCGGUGUAUUCUACAGUUGUGGUUAUGGAGCACUGGAUAACAGUAGUAAUUAUCCACAAGACCAGGUAUGUUGGUGUUCCAUUCUCAUAAUUACAGAUAACACUAUAUUUGCUAGGUUAAUUAAGUAAGGUACAUACCCUUGCCUUGAGGCGGAAGGGAGUGGGGUGGGUACAACAUCGAUAACAUGUGAGGUGGCGAUGAGCCCGGCCAGAUGGCUCAUCGUUCCACGGUAGAAGAACAACGGAGCAGGCGCAAAGAAUCUUCAGCAAUAACAGAAAACAAAAAUUACAAUUUUUCAGCUAGACAACACACCAGAACUAUCUCAAUCAUGAACUGACAUCUAAAACACCAGAAACUGAAGAACGUUAUAGCAGCACAAAUCUUCAUCUUCAUAAGAAAAUCAAUCUUAAAUUAGGCAAGGGCAUUGAUAUGCAAAUUUGAGAUAGAAAAAUGUUUAUUUUCCUAGGUAAUAACUCGCAACUGGUCUACGAAUACACUGAAUAAAAAGAUAUGUAGAUUAAACAUGAUAUCCUACUGAUAGAAACGAAUGGAGUUUUGUUCUUGGUUGAAAUCUGCAAGGAGGUACUCCCUCCGUCCGAAAAUACUUGUCAUCAAAAUAGAUAAAAAGGGAUGUAUCUAGAACGAAAAUACAUCUAAAUACAUCCCCUUUUAUUCAUUUUGAUGACAAGUAUUUCCGAACGGAGGGAGUAGUACCUAAAGGCUAAAGGACUCCUCAGCUAGAGGCCACACAAGUAAAGGUAGCCCCUGACAAAGAGCUCAUGCUCUUGUAUAUCUGUUCAGUUUGUGCACAACAUCAAAGCAAUUUGUAAGGUGAUCCUCUCGGGCCAUGUAGUAUGGUUUGCUUACAGUUUUAGCAAAGCUCUCAUAGAUGAUGAAUAAGCAUUAGGUUCUGGGGCAAAAAUGUCUUAAUAUAUAUUCUGAAUAAAUUGUAUCAAUUAAGUUAACUCCAUUAUGUAGGGAUGGAAAAUCAAGCAAAAUGCAGUAGAAAAUGUAUAUUUUACAUAAUUUAACAAGAGUUUCCACAUUUGCCUUCAGAGGCUUGAAAUUACUAAACAAAUCAGAGGAAAAAAUGGGAAGAUCUACAUCGCUUAUUUUAGCAGAUCUAGAUUAUAAGGUGCAAAGGUAUGUUCCAGAGAAUAGCAGUCCUGAAGAACACAGAUGGCCCAAAAUCAAUUGCCUUUAGAGAACUCUUCUUAUUUGUGUGUAACUUGUCUAGUUUAAGGUCCUGAUGGAUGACACCAUUCCUAAUGGCACAUCUGUCAUAAUAUAUAAUAAAAAGAAUAUGUGUCAGAUGUCACAAAACAACCCAAUAUUGGAAGAAACACUUGUGGAACAAAAAUCUGGACUGAAGGUAACAAUCAAUGGUGGAACCCUAUGUAGUUUUCAAUGACAUGACAAAUUUACAUAAUUCUCGGAGAAGCAUGUAGCAUAUUUUGUAUCUCUGGAGUUCAACAUGGCAAUAUUUUGUAUCUACAAUACUUUGUUUCAUCAUGUGUUUUAAAGGUCAGGAACUACCCAUGGUUUGCUGGGGUAGUGAAGGCUGUGGUUUUUUCGAAGGUGGUCCAGGAUAUUCCUAUGAACUGAACAUUAAACAGAUUGGAAAUGAGAAAACACUUGCCACUGCUCGCUCCUGGCAUCGUCCACAACCCUUCCUCAGCUGAAAAGAAUGACAUAAACGUUCAAAAAAAUUUGAGCUCUAAACUCAGUGCAUUUAUUGAAAUCAGACCGCCAAACAUAAUAGCAAAUACAAAUAAAAGUCGAUGCGAGCUCCAGACCUACCGUCAAAAAGAUAUCAGAUAGCUAAUGAAAUUAAGGAUCAUUCUUCAACACAGAUCGGAAUUUUUUUAUUAUUGCUCCUUGAAUUCCUAACUCCUAAGCUCGAGAACGCUCAAAUGCUUCUAUAAAAGCUUUAGACCACCAAUAACAUCAUAAACCAUGUAUGUAGGCAUUGCUCGAAAAAAUCAGUAAAAUAAGCAAACAAAAUCUCAGUUAACCACCUUGUACACAAAACAAAGGACAUUUAAAUUCCGAAACCUGAAGAUAUGCUACAGGAGCACAGGUAUGUUUGAUAGAAACUAAUGUACAUGUAUAUGCAUGAUUACUAAAUAUGGCAAGCCUUAGUUUCGUUUGGAGGAAGUGGUUUGCUUAAGGUCAUUCAUCCUUCCCACUUUACUUAUACAAGUGUGACAACAAAACCAUUACAACACAAGGCAACAAUACAUAUUAUGUGGUAGCAGGAAUAGGAACUUGGGUGUAUUUUAGUUCAGAGAUAUAGAAGUGAUAAGUGAUCUAGUUUAGGGCACAUACUCCCUCCGUUUCUUUUUACUCCGCGUAUAAGUUUUGGUCAAAGUCAAACUACACAAAGUUUGACCAAAUUUAUAUUAAAACAUAUAAACAUCUACAAUACUCAAACUAUAUAAUAUGAAAAUACAUUUGAUGGUGAAUCUGAAAAUGUUGAUUUCAUAUUGUGAAUGUUGAUAUAUUUUUAAUAUAAAGCUAGUCAACUAUGCAAAGCUUGACUUUGACCAAACCUUAUAUGCAGACUAAAAAGAAAUGGAGGGAGUACCAACAAGUAGUUACAAGAGAAAACAUUUGUUCACAGUAAGUUAGUAACCCUAAAGGAUCUACCUACUCGGAGAAAUUCAUAAGAACAAAACUGCAUAUACAGUAAAACACAAUGAGCUUUGAAUCAAAGUAUAACUAUUUGAAAAUCUUUGGAGAAGAUCAAACAAUACAUCCUUGCAUCACUACUCGGGGUCACUAACGGAGGCGCCAAUUCCUUCGAGCAGGGGAAAGGGGAAUUGAAGGUGCCAAGCACAAGAACUGGAAGGGGGGGGAUGAAAACCUCAAACCCUACCAUUUGAAGAGCAGAGGAUAUAUAUUUAGGCACUCACAGAAAUAAUCACCGGAGGGCAUGUACAGAUACAAGUAGGUGGUGGCAUCGCCGUCUCAGCUUGGUUGUCCAAG
This 3732-nucleotide long non-coding RNA is filed under the name Triticum aestivum (bread wheat). Its description in RNAcentral is "long non-coding RNA (TAES_LNC011767)". The stretch from base 1324 to 1458 matches the Rfam family "MIR1120/MIR1122 microRNA precursor family". The record is from RNAcentral. Lineage: Eukaryota; Viridiplantae; Streptophyta; Magnoliopsida; Poales; Poaceae.